GGGGUGGAUCUGGGAAAGAGGAGGAAGAGCUGGAGCGGAGAGACAGGCUUCGAGCUUGCAGCCAGUGCACCAUUGCUGGGCCGAGGAAACAGAGAAGGUACAAAGCUGUCCUGAGGUUUGAACAUCCUCCGAGGUUGCAUCUCAGUCUCACUAGAGGCUUGAACUGAGAUCCUUGCCACAGUCCCUAAGCUUUUUUGUUCAAGGUAAGUACUGGUCCACUUGAACCACACCUGCACUCCAGGCUUUUUGGUGAAUAGUUGGAGUUUCUUUGACUUUCCUGCCUGGACUGGCUUUGAACCAUGAUCCUCAGCUCUCAGCCUCCUAUAUACCUAGAAUUAUAGGCAUGAGCCACCAGCUCCUCCCUUGUUUUUUCUUUGGGGGGGGGGGGCUAUUUUUUGUUUGUGAGUUUACACAAUUAUUAGCAUCAAUUACUUAUACAAUUUGAGUUUAACAUAUCUAUGGAUACAGUGCAUCUAGAUCUAGUAACCCCCUUUACCCUUCUUCCUGUCCUUCCCCCCAAUCCUUCCCAAACCGCUCUCAUCAUAUCCUUGUUCCAUUUUCACUGACAUAUAUAAUUAUGACUAUAUACACCCUCCUUACCCAUCUGUUGUUCCACCCCCUCCCACAGUACUUCUCCCCCAAACCAGACAUGGUUCAAUUUAUUAAUAUUCUUAAACUAUGUCAAUCACCGUGGUAUCUCACACCUGCAUCUACCAAUUUUUAAUCGGGUGUGUGUAUGUGUCUGUGUGUAGCUUACAUUAUAUUUCUAUUAGCACUGGUCUGGGAAGGAACAAGGAAAGGAGGUUUUCCCCUAAAGAAAAGGGUUUGCUGUAAGACACAGGAAGAAAAUGAGAACUUUAUCUUGUGACCUCUGUAGGAAUCCUUGUCAUCCUUACCCUUCUGUUACUCAUAGCGUAACAGAGUGUUGAGGGCUUACGUUUGAACUGAGGGUGCUGUAGGUUUUAUAGGACAAAGAUAGUAGAAGAGCUUAAUGAUUUCUCCCUUGUACCUUAAGAGCUUUGCCGAACAAGAGGUCAUUUGUUUAGGCUGAGACGUGAGCCUUUCGCCAAGUGCCUUUUAGUCCCAAGUUCCCACUCUCAAGAGGUCUGCUUCUGGUGAUUGGCAGGAGGGGAUUCAAAACAGAACAAAGCAUCCAGCUGGCCCUUCACAGACACAUGCAGAAAUGUAGUGAGUUAACUCUUAGAGUACAGACAUAGACAAAGUAGUAAGAGAAAAGAAAGAAAAAGUAGCAACAAUCAGAA
Molecule: long non-coding RNA, 1262 nt
Organism: Perognathus longimembris pacificus (Pacific pocket mouse)
Lineage: Eukaryota; Metazoa; Chordata; Mammalia; Rodentia; Heteromyidae
Exons: 3
Source: RefSeq, a predicted model, not a curated record